This 40-nucleotide small RNA is filed under the name Hordeum vulgare subsp. vulgare (domesticated barley). The record is from RNAcentral. Lineage: Eukaryota; Viridiplantae; Streptophyta; Magnoliopsida; Poales; Poaceae.
GUGGUUGACUAGAGAUGAUGGUUAAUAAAUGUGCUACAUC